Homo sapiens (human) is the source of this 376-nucleotide long non-coding RNA. Ensembl annotates it as SLC7A11 antisense RNA 1. Its record names the gene SLC7A11-AS1. The record is from Ensembl. Lineage: Eukaryota; Metazoa; Chordata; Mammalia; Primates; Hominidae.
GUUCUUUGCCGUGCUAACAUAUGUUGUAGAGAAUGACCACAUAGUAAUUGUCUAGUCUUUUCUCCUAACCCCAAUAGGAUUUGAAUGACUUUCAUCGUAAUGAAGGCUUCUGCAGAGUAAUUGAUUUUGACCAUGAGUACCUGUUGAAGUCACAGCAACUUCUCCUUCUAGAUUAUCUUACAGCAGUGGACCAGACAGCAGUGCUCAAGAGAGGCAAGUAUGUCUUUAAGGAAGCUUCCUGCUUGCCGGGGAAAGCUGCAGAGUAUGUGGCAUUCAACUGUCAUGUCUACAUCCAUGUUGAAAAAGUCUUUCGGCUUUAAGGAUAAUCAACCCGCGGUACUCUUUCUUUAAAUAAAGGUGUGUUAAUGAGUCUGCA